Molecule: non-coding RNA, 21 nt
Organism: Caenorhabditis elegans
Lineage: Eukaryota; Metazoa; Nematoda; Chromadorea; Rhabditida; Rhabditidae
Source: Ensembl
UGCUUGAGGUGAAUUGUAGUC